RNAcentral lists this ribosomal RNA (305 nucleotides) under uncultured bacterium. RNAcentral's name for it is "bacterial SSU rRNA". It matches the Rfam family "Bacterial small subunit ribosomal RNA", at positions 337 to 639 of the family's 1533-position model. The record is from RNAcentral.
GCCUACGGGGCGCAGCAGUGAGGAAUAUUGGUCAAUGGGCGCGAGCCUGAACCAGCCAAGUCGCGUGAGGGAAGACGGUCCUAUGGAUUGUAAACCUCUUUUGUCGGGGAGCAAAAGACGCCACGCGUGGCGUUCCGAGAGUACCCGAAGAAAAAGCAUCGGCUAACUCCGUGCCAGCAGCCGCGGUAAUACGGAGGAUGCGAGCGUUAUCCGGAUUUAUUGGGUUUAAAGGGAGCGUAGGUGGAUUGUUAAGUCAGUUGUGAAAGUUUGCGGCUCAACCGUAAAAUUGCAGUUGAAACUGGCAG